Molecule: long non-coding RNA, 630 nt
Organism: Sebastes umbrosus (honeycomb rockfish)
Lineage: Eukaryota; Metazoa; Chordata; Actinopteri; Perciformes; Sebastidae
Exons: 3
Source: RefSeq, a predicted model, not a curated record
ACUCCCAAAUUUGCGAGAUUAUAAAGUCCUAAAUUUAUAGGAAAAACGGAAAACUGAGCGAUGCGAAGGUCCUGAAAGAUACAUAUAUAUGUUUUCUUUAAUGGUCUUAAUGUGUUCUUCUAUGAACAUAAGUACUGAUAUUAUAGAAGUUGCGGGGAAAGUUGAGACGAAAAAAACUAUCUUUGACUACUGUCUUUGACUACACUAAGGCGCGUCUUUGUUUUCAGCACAGUUUACAUUAAAAACCAACCAUUGAGAAGACGUUACUCUGAACUACUCUGCAUUACCAUGGUUACACCAUGACGCUUUUAACUAUCAGUGUCAUUCAGAACAGUGGUUCCCGAAAUGGGGUCCGGGCCCCCCCUAGGGGGGGACGCCAAAGAUCACAGGGGGUGCGCAAGGAUUUGUCUGCUCUGAGGUUGUCAAAAUUAGAUUUGCUCAUGUAUAAAUAAAAUCACACUUACUGGAUAAUUUAUACAAAAGUCUGUAUAUAAAACAAUUUAAAACGAUUUCUUUGCUACUAAGAAGCAAAAUCUAACGAAAUAUUCAACUCCAAUCUGGAUUUGUUGGCGUUUAGCAGUUCAAAUAUGUAUUGAAAGGCUAAAUGCCAACAAAUACGGAUUGAAGCUG